CAAUAGCGUAUAUUAAAGUUGUUGCGGUAAAAAAGCUCGUAGUUGGAUUUCUACCGAAGAUAGCCGGUCGGGUCUUCGACCUUGUAUCUGGUUUUGUCUUUGGUAUCCUCAUAGGGAACGUUUCUGCGCUUUAUUGCGUGGUGCGGUAUCUAUGACUUUUACUUUGAGGAAAUUAGAGUGUUCACGGCAGGCAAACGCCUUGAAUAUAUUAGCAUGGAAUAAUAACAUAGGAUCUUCGUCCUAUUUUGUUGGUUUCUAGGGCUAAGAUAAUGAUUAAUAGGGAUAAUUGGGGGCAUCUGUAUCUACGCGUCAGAGGUGGAAUUCUUGGAUUGCGUUGCGACAAACUACUGCGAAAGCAUUUGCCAAGGAUGUUUUCAUUGA
This 381-nucleotide ribosomal RNA is filed under the name uncultured eukaryote. RNAcentral's name for it is "partial 18S ribosomal RNA". It matches the Rfam family "Eukaryotic small subunit ribosomal RNA", at positions 592 to 976 of the family's 1831-position model. The record is from RNAcentral.